UUUCGCUUUUUUAGCGCCAUCUGCUCGCGGCACCGCCUCCUGCUCCUCCCGCCGCCGCUGCCGCCCUGAGUCACUGCCUGCGCAGCUCCGGCCGCCUGGCUCCCCAUACUAGCCGCCGAUAUUUGGAGUUCUUACAACAUGGCAGACAUUGACAACAAAGAACAGUCUGAACUUGAUCAAGAUUUGGAUGAUGUUGAAGAAGUAGAAGAAGAGGAAACUGGUGAAGAAACAAAAAUCAAAGCACGUCAGCUAACUGUUCAGAUGAUGCAAAAUCCUCAGAUUCUUGCAGCCCUUCAAGAAAGACUUGAUGGUCUGGUAGAAACACCAACAGGAUACAUUGAAAGCCUGCCUAGGGUAGUUAAAAGACGAGUGAAUGCUCUCAAAAACCUGCAAGUUAAAUGUGCACAGAUAGAAGCCAAAUUCUAUGAGGAAGUUCACGAUCUUGAAAGGAAGUAUGCCGUUCUCUAUCAGCCUCUGUUUGAUAAGCGAUUUGAGAUUAUUAAUGCAAUUUAUGAACCUACGGAAGAAGAAUGUGAAUGGAAACCAGAUGAAGAAGAUGAGAUUUCGGAGGAGUUGAAAGAAAAGGCCAAGAUCAAAGAUGAGAGAAAGGAUGAAGAAAAAGAAGACCCCAAAGGAAUUCCUGAAUUUUGGUUAACUGUUUUUAAGAAUGUUGACUUGCUCAGUGAUAUGGUUCAGGAACAUGAUGAACCUAUUCUGAAACACUUGAAAGAUAUUAAAGUGAAGUUCUCAGAUGCUGGCCAGCCUAUGAGUUUUGUCUUAGAAUUUCACUUUGAACCCAAUGAAUAUUUUACAAAUGAAGUGCUGACAGACAUAUAGGAUGAGGUCAGAACCAGAUGAUUCUGAUCCCUUUUCUUUUGAUGGACCAGAAAUUAUGGGUUGUACAGGGUGCCAGAUAGAUUGGAAAAAGGAAAGAAUGUCACUUUGAAAACCAUUAAGAAGAAGCAGAAACACAAGGGAUGUGGGACAGUUCGUACUGUGACUAAAACAGUUUCCAAUGACUCUUUCUUUAAUUUUUUUGCCCCUCCUGAAGUUCCUGAGAGUGGAGAUCUGGAUGAUGAUGCUGAAGCUAUCCUUGCUGCGGACUUCGAAAUUGGUCACUUUUUACGUGAGCGUAUAAUCCUGAGAUCAGUGUUGUAUUUUACUGGAGAAGCUAUUGAAGAUGAUGAUGAUGAUUAUGAUGAAGAAGGUGAAGAAGCGGAUGAGGUAAUGUUUACCAAAUGAGCAAAUAAUUCUCUGUGGUUAACACAUUGAGAAGCAAAUGGAAUGACUUAUGUAUUCCUUUGCUAUAAUCAUUCUGUGAUUUGGGAUAAAAACAUUUUGGAAAACAUGAUUUUAGAAUUCUACAGCCAAACAAUGUAUGUAUAAGGUUUCAAUAAAUAAAUUGCAAAACUCAAAAAAA
Cercocebus atys (sooty mangabey) is the source of this 1420-nucleotide RNA transcript. It is a transcript of the gene named nucleosome assembly protein 1-like 1 pseudogene, with no coding region annotated. NCBI's taxonomy places the organism in Eukaryota, Metazoa, Chordata, Mammalia, Primates, Cercopithecidae. The record is from RefSeq and is a predicted model, not a curated record. The transcript has a single exon.